This 490-nucleotide ribosomal RNA is filed under the name uncultured bacterium. RNAcentral describes it as "partial 16S ribosomal RNA". It matches the Rfam family "Bacterial small subunit ribosomal RNA", at positions 30 to 507 of the family's 1533-position model. The record is from RNAcentral.
AUUGAACGCUGGCGGCAGGCCUAACACAUGCAAGUCGAACGGUAACAGGAAGAAGCUUGCUUCUUUGCUGACGAGUGGCGGACGGGUGAGUAAUGUCUGGGAAACUGCCUGAUGGAGGGGGAUAACUACUGGAAACGGUAGCUAAUACCGCAUAACGUCGCAAGACCAAAGAGGGGGACCUUCGGGCCUCUUGCCAUCGGAUGUGCCCAGAUGGGAUUAGCUAGUAGGUGGGGUAACGGCUCACCUAGGCGACGAUCCCUAGCUGGUCUGAGAGGAUGACCAGCCACACUGGAACUGAGACACGGUCCAGACUCCUACGGGAGGCAGCAGUGGGGAAUAUUGCACAAUGGGCGAAAGCCUGAUGCAGCCAUGCCGCGUGUAUGAAGAAGGCCUUCGGGUUGUAAAGUACUUUCAGCGGGGAGGAAGGGAGUAAAGUUAAUACCCUUGCUCAUUGACGUUACCCGCAGAAGAAGCACCGGCUAACUCCGUG